CAUGGAGCACUGGGUGUUCUAUGUAAACAAUGAAUCUUGGAACACUGCAUCAAAAACUAAUGGCAUAUUGUACGGCGACUAACAUAACCCAAUAAAAAAAAGGAACUUUAGAAAGGGGAA
Molecule: long non-coding RNA, 120 nt
Organism: Mustela erminea (ermine)
Lineage: Eukaryota; Metazoa; Chordata; Mammalia; Carnivora; Mustelidae
Exons: 3
Source: RefSeq, a predicted model, not a curated record